AUUGAACGCUGGCGGCAUGCCUAACACAUGCAAGUCGAACGGUAACACGCCUACGGCUUCUGACUACUGGUGACCGGGUGCGUACUGGUUAGGAACGUAUCCGGAGCUGGUGUUUCGCGCAGCGCAACCUGUGCUAAUAUCCCCUAUUAUCUCAUAAGGACAACGGGGGACCGCACAGCAACUUUUGGCCUUGCGCCUUUGGAUCGGCCGAUGUCGGAUUAGCUAGUUGGUGGGGUAAAGGCCCACCAAGGCGACGAUCCGUAGCUGGUCUGAGAGGAUGAUCGGCCACACUGGAACUGAGACACGGUCCAGACUCCUACGGGAGGCAGCAGUAGGGAAUAUUGGACGAUGGGCGCAAGCCUGAUCCAGCCAUACCGCGUGAGUGAAGAAGGCCUUCGGGUUGUAAAGCCCUUUUGUUGGGAAAGAAAAGCAGCAGGUUAAUACCCCGCUGUUCUGACGGUACCCAAAGAAUAAGCACCGGCUAACUUCGUG
RNAcentral lists this ribosomal RNA (492 nucleotides) under uncultured bacterium. Its description in RNAcentral is "partial 16S ribosomal RNA". It matches the Rfam family "Bacterial small subunit ribosomal RNA", at positions 30 to 507 of the family's 1533-position model. The record is from RNAcentral.